UGGGGGUGUAGUUCAGGGUAGAGCUUUCCACACUAGCAGCGGAGUUUUCUGGCCAAAACCUGGAGGAGCUGUGUGGUCCUCAUGCUAUGUUGUCUCCAUGAUGCUUCCCAGGACUACUCUCUGAUCCAUGUCAGGGCCUGGGAACUUCCCUGUUUCAUGAACUGGAUUUAAUGGACAGAUUCCAGAUUGAGAGAUCUUCAGAUGUCGGUAUUGCAUGUCUCAAUUUGUGUCUCCAAACUGCUAUUUUGUAGUGUAACAAGAAGAAAUCAGACAUGUAGACCUAAAGGCUGAGCUGUGUGGUCCUCAUGCUAUGUUGUCUCCAUGAUGCUUCCCAGGACUACUCUCUGAUCCAUGUCAGGGCCUAGGA
Molecule: long non-coding RNA, 367 nt
Filed under: Homo sapiens (human)
Lineage: Eukaryota; Metazoa; Chordata; Mammalia; Primates; Hominidae
Description: non-protein coding lnc-KRBA1-1:1
Source: RNAcentral